This 466-nucleotide ribosomal RNA is filed under the name uncultured bacterium. RNAcentral describes it as "bacterial SSU rRNA". It matches the Rfam family "Bacterial small subunit ribosomal RNA", at positions 29 to 507 of the family's 1533-position model. The record is from RNAcentral.
AUUGAACGCUGGCGGCAUGCCUUACACAUGCAAGUCGAACGGCAGCAUGGGUGCUUGCACCUGAUGGCGAGUGGCGAACGGGUGAGUAAUGCAUCGGAACGUACCCGGAAGUGGGGGAUAACGUAGCGAAAGUUACGCUAAUACCGCAUAUUCUGUGAGCAGGAAAGCGGGGGAUCGCAAGACCUCGCGCUUCCGGAGCGGCCGAUGUCGGAUUAGCUAGUUGGCGGGGUAAAGGCCCACCAAGGCAACGAUCCGUAGCGGGUCUGAGAGGAUGAUCCGCCACACUGGGACUGAGACACGGCCCAGACUCCUACGGGAGGCAGCAGUGGGGAAUUUUGGACAAUGGGCGAAAGCCUGAUGCAGCGACGCCGCGUGAGGGAUGACGGCCUUCGGGUUGUAAACCUCUUUCAGCAGGGAAGAAGCGAAAGUGACGGUACCUGCAGAAGAAGCACCGGCUAACUACGUG